This is a long non-coding RNA of Arabidopsis lyrata subsp. lyrata, 616 nucleotides long. RefSeq lists it as uncharacterized. NCBI's taxonomy places the organism in Eukaryota, Viridiplantae, Streptophyta, Magnoliopsida, Brassicales, Brassicaceae. The transcript has 4 exons. The record is from RefSeq and is a predicted model, not a curated record.
CAUAAACCGACUGAACAUUAAAAAAAAAAAAAACAAUUUGGACAGUUUUUCAUUUCAGAAGUCAGAACAGUCGUUGUCUCAUCAAAAAAAAAAAAACACCCACCGAUCAAAAUUUUCAUACUCGAUCGAUCUAAGUCUAAUUUACGAAAUCUCAUGUAAUUCUCUAUUUCUUCUCCGUUUUGUAAAUUGUGAAUUCUUUGAAGAGUGUUCUUGGCGAAGCAACAUCAGGAAGCCGGAUUUUCUAUGGGUAAAGCUUCACUUGGAGCAACAUAAGAAUAUGGAGGCUAUCAAAUUUGUUCAUUGGAGCAAUGCCUCAAAUCUAUAUGUGAAAGGAUAUAUCGCAAAACAUUCCAAGCAUUGAUUGAUAAAAAUCCGCGAAUAUCAUUUGGAUCAGAUACGGGUUGAACGGAUCCUAAAGCCCAUAACUUACGAAGAUCCGCGUGUUUUACCGAAUUACUAUGGGUUUAGAUCCGACCCGUAACCCAGGAUCCGCGUGUCAAUUGACAGCAAAGUUGCCAUUUUACCCUUCCACGUAAUUUUUUUGAUUACUUUUUGAAUGUAAUUAUCCUAAUGGCAUUCCCUUGUAAUUUUUUACACUUUUUAAGGUUAUUUUUCA